This is a long non-coding RNA of Gymnodraco acuticeps, 2352 nucleotides long. RefSeq lists it as uncharacterized. The transcript is spliced from 3 exons. NCBI's taxonomy places the organism in Eukaryota, Metazoa, Chordata, Actinopteri, Perciformes, Bathydraconidae. The record is from RefSeq and is a predicted model, not a curated record.
GCGCAUAACAACCCUGCCCCUCCAAUCAAGAGUUCUCUCUCAGCUGGAUGUGCUGUCUGACAAACUUCUGAAGGUUUUUGAGAAGAGAGGAGGACAGAUAGGCCAGCGUCUGAACUGUAUUAUGUCAAACAUGACUCAAGUUGAUGUCGAUUUAGGGCGGGAAUGUCUUCUCAAGGGGCUGUGUGUGCACCUCUGUGUGUAUACCCCAAUGAGGACCCAGAAGUGCUGAGAGAGUUUGUGGCAGAAGAUGAAGACGUCAUUCUGCGGUCCAUUCAGGGGAUUAUAGUGGGCCUUUAUGUUGUCAAACACAAUUCCACCAUGAGACCAGAGGACAGAGGAGACCAGAGGACAGAGGAGACCAGAGGACAGAGGAGACCAGAGGACAGAGGAGGACAGAGGAGACCAGAGGACAGAGGAGACCAGAGGACAGAUGAGAGCAGAGGACAGAUGAGAGCAGAGGACAGAUGAGACCAGAUGACAGAUUGUCCUGGAAGGCCAACAGGUACUAACCGAUGUGGACAACAUUGCAUUAGCUGCUACCAUGCAGUUUGGACUCAUGUAUGCCAUGAACCUGAACUACCCCCCUAAACUAAAUUGCACGUUGGAAGUGCUCCAAAAAAAUGUAAUGGAGCUAGACGGCAACAUGCUCUCCAAGAAAGCACAAGCGUUUUUCAACGUGCAUUUGAGUGAGCUGUUGCCAUGGACCAUUGCUGAUUGGUCCACCUGAAGAUACAGGAGUAUUUCAGCUGCAGCCAUGUAGUCCAUCUGCCCUCUCACCGACCUCUCCUACUCCCAACUCUGUGUCUGUGGUAAAAGAUCUGAUCUGUUGUUCUGUGUUGUACAUUUUUGUAUUAUUGUAAAGCUAAGCUAUAAUGUAACCUGUCUUGAGGACACGCUUUGUUUUGUUUAGGAGUGAGAAACCCUUUUCGUUUGAACCCCUUUUUCUCCUGUUUUUCUGGUAGGAGUUAGGUAAGAAGCCUGUAUUUUAUUUUUAUUUUUUUCGGCUAGGCUUUGGCGUUUUUUGUUAAUGAGUUACAAAAAUAAGCAUUUUUUGGCCAUUUGGCCGAAUAAACCUUUAUCCUAGUCGGGAGAAUAGUUUCCUUUAAGCUUCCUUGCUGUGUUCUAACACAAUAAUGUAUAUAUACAUCACAAACAUUUUCUAUUUAUUGUAUUUCUUUAUUUUCAAUGUAUUUGUUAAUUCUCCUGGCAUACUUUAGGCUGCAUGAUGGAAAAACCAAAAGCUCAUCUGGAUGUGUGGUGGUUGUUAAUAUUGUUUUAUUUUUUGAGAAAAAUGCAUGAAUGUUGUUCAAAGAAAUGUGUUUGUCUUUAUUGACUAUUUGUUUUAAAAUGUUGUGAUAAAUGCUGUAGAUAUAAGAGAUUAGGAUGGAUCCUGUAGAAGAAUGUACGAAAUGCCUCUAAUUACAUAAAAUCAAUAAUCUUAUGUACCCCUUGAGCACUAGGUAGAUUAAACAGAAAACUAUAGCAUGUAAUUUAAACAAAACAUUAAUGUGGCUUUAACAGGUACAAAUGAAAUAUACUGAGCAUAUUAAAAGCCUAAAAUGAACAUUAAAAAGUCAUGUUGGUUAAACAUAGGGUAAAUGAAUAUACCUAUAUUCAAAUGAACAUAACAAUUUACUGUUUCUUUGACAUAACAUAGUUGUGUGUCUUUAACAUAAUGGAAUAGUUUUAAGUUCACAUGUUUUUAAUGUGUGCAACCGGUUUCCAUAUUAAAAUCAUGUGAAUCCAACAGCCUUUUUUUCAGUGUAGGAGAAUUAACAAAUACAUUGAAAAUAAAGAAAUAGAAUAAAUAGAAAAUGUUUGUGAUGCAUGUACAUAUACAUUAUUGUGUUCGAACACAGCAAAGAAGCUUAAAGGAAACUAUUCUCCCGACCUAAAUAAAGGUGUAUUGGGCCAGAUGGCAAAGAAAGGCUUAUUUUUGUAACUCAUUCAUGUAAACAAUUAACAGAAAAUGUCAACGCCGAAAAAAUGAAAUGUUCUUGCAAAUCCAUUAUUGAAAUAGUAACCUGCUAAUAUGAAAGGGCACUUUAAUACAAGAAAGAAAUGGCAUUGCUUUGGAAAAACACAUGAAAGUAUAAUAAUGGCCUGGUUUCUCACCACAUAUGCACUAAAGAAAGUAUUACAAAUAAAAACAAGAACUGACAUUUUGAAGUAGCGCAAUUAGAUCAAGACAAUUCUGCAAAUCUGACAUCGCACUUUGAUGCAAGUGGUACAUUCUGAAACACAUGGAAAAACACACAUUUUUUAAACAUGCAAAUCAAUACAGCACAAAGCAUGAGCAAAGGAAGUGCAAGACAGUUGUAUCGAUGAAAGUCCAGUAUGAAUGCUGUAAAA